Molecule: ribosomal RNA, 408 nt
Filed under: uncultured bacterium
Lineage: Bacteria
Description: partial 16S ribosomal RNA
Rfam family: Bacterial small subunit ribosomal RNA
Source: RNAcentral
GACGAACGCUGGCGGCGUGCUUAACACAUGCAAGUCGAACGGAGUGGCGAACGGGUGAGUAACACGUGGGUGACCUGCCCUGCACUUCGGGAGAAGACUGGGAAAAUGGGUCUAAUACCGGAGAGGGUGGGAUGGGCCCGCGGCCUAUCGGCUUGUUGGGGGGGUAAGGGCCUACCACGGCGGCGACGGGUAGCCGGCCUGGGAGGGUGGACGGCCACAAUGGGACUGAGACACGGCCCAGACUCCUACGGGGGGCAGCGGUGGGGAGUAUUGCACAAUGAGCGGAAGCCUGAUGCAGCGGCGCCGCGUGGGUGAUGACGGCCUUCGGGUUGUAAACUCCUUGCGCCAUCGACGCGGUAGAUGGAGAAGAAGCACCGGCUAACUACGUGCCAGCAGCCGCGGUAAUAC